UUAGUGAGGAUGAUUAUGAUAUAUUAUAUUUUCAAAUUGACGACAAAUGCAUUGACAAUAAGAUGCAUAUGAUUGAUGUGCAUUGGAAAAUGUAAAAAUAUUUAUUGCAAAUAAAUAUUAAAUACGAUUUUGAAAUUAAUAAAUAAAAUAUCUGAUCCGUAAUACAAUAAGAUGAUCGAUCUGGAAGAACGUAAAUCAUUGAAUGAUUUUAUUAUGUAUUAUGACAGUCUUCGUGAACGCACGUUCUCGAUAUAUUCUCCGAUUGGGUUAAGGCACAUGCUAUCUAUUUCUCUUUUCCUCUUUCUCUUUCUUUAUCUAUCUCAAUAUAUCAAUAUAUCUAUAUAUCUAUCUAUCUAUGUAUCUAUCUAUCUAUCUCUCGUUCUCCUUUGGCCCACGUAUCGGUUAUGUUCGCUGACUCGACGCAUAUAUGGCAUCUUGUCUUGCCAGUGUAUGACCUAGCUAACGACCCACGUAUUCGAUGUACCCAAAACCAAAGGACAAAGAUAUCCACCAUCCGAAUAUAAUUCUUACUGAAUACACAAACAAACGAUCAAAAAUAAAACUACGAAAUGACAUGACAA
Polistes dominula (European paper wasp) is the source of this 581-nucleotide long non-coding RNA. Lineage: Eukaryota; Metazoa; Arthropoda; Insecta; Hymenoptera; Vespidae. The record is from RefSeq and is a predicted model, not a curated record.